UACUGUUGCACUAUACAUUGUCAGGGGCAUCAGUGUAGUGUAAGUAUAUUUAUUAAGUAAUCCUAUUAUCCUUGGCAGAGAGUAUGACAAGCUAAAAGGGAGCCUCAGAUCUUCAAACUAAAUGUGUGAAAAGCUCAAAAGGGACGUGUUUGCUUCAAACAACAAGUUGCAUUAAGCCACAAUGGAGUUGAACAUGACCAAGGAUGACAUGAAAGCUGUCCAAAAUUACUUGACCAACGCAGACAGAGAUUACUCCCUGCCCCAGUGGAGCUGAAACUGCCCCAUCUCCACCAGCCUCCCAACAGUGAGGACAUUGCCCUCAACAUGACCUUUGACAUCAUCACCCCUGACCCGGUGUAUAAAAGGUUGUCACAGGUCCCAUCCAAGAAGAUGCAUCUGGACCCAGCCGUGUUGUCGUCCUCACUGACCAAACACCAAGACAAAGCCUCGUUUGGAAGCCAGAGAGGAGGCACCCAUGGAUACCUCCUACCGUAACACCAAACUGUUCAGGAAGAGAACAUUCGGCAGCAUGCUGGACCCCAAGAGGAUUAAACUGGGAGCUGUAGGUUUAACCUGACUCCCUGUCUUUGUUCUUGUCAACGAUAUGACAAUGUCAUGGUUACGGUGGACUUGGGGAAGAACCAAAUUCUUCCAGCCUAUAUCCUUUUCUCAAACCAUACAAUUCAGGUGUACUGACGUGUAUUUUUAUUGAUAUGGUUAUUGAAGUAAAUAUUGUGACUGUGUAUUUUAUCCUCUGAUGUCUAUUGACAAAUAUAUGUCGUUAUACAUUUGCUGUAACUAAUCUCAUAGGAAACCAUAGUGGAGGAACACGUGAAUGCCAUUUGUUAUGGAAUACCACUUUCCUUAAUUCAGCCCCCCCAGACCAGUCUCUUUUGUCAGAGAUUCGCCCACUCAUGAAGGCCAAGAGGGAAAAAAGGUUCCCGACCAGCUCCUCCCAAGAGCUCCACCUGCCCUAUGCUUAACAGUUUUCUGGAGUGACCUGUGACCUUUCCAUUCCUGACUGAUUCAUGUGUGUAAGUUGCACCUCUGACACUAGUGACCAGCCCGUCUGGGGCAAUAUAGAGGAGCAACCUGAAUACGUCUACCAGUCAGGUAAAAAAAAAUAACUUGGACCUCUUACUUGAGGGCCUGCUCCAAGCUUUGGGCAUGAAUGGGCAUAGCUGCUAGUUUGAUGAGAAUUUGUUUUGGUGUAUCGAGACUUCAUUUGGCUCAUGAAACCCCCUGUCUGUGUUUAGUAAUUUUGUGUUGAGACAUUUCAUUUUUUUCUGGUUUAUAAUUUUGUGUAAGGAAGGGUGAUCUGCUGACUGAAACAUAUCAUCACUAGCAUCUGUGAAAUGUCAGCCAUUUGACUCAGUUGCACAUUACAGAAAUCCAAAUUUUAUCCAUCUUUCACACUUGAACAUUUCUUGUUUUACUUACUGUCUGAAUAUUGUAAUACAGCAUUGUAUUGAAUAUUUAGAAGUUGUUUCCCACUUGGGGCGGCAGGAAGCCUAGUGUUUAGAGCAUUGGGCCAGUAACCUAAAGGUUGCUAGAGCGAAUCCCCGAGCUGACAAGGAAAACAUUUGUCGUUCUGCCCCUGAACAAGGCAGUUAACCCACUGUUCCUAUGUCGUUAUUUUAAAUAGGAAUUUGUUCUUAACUGACCUGCCUUGUUAAAUACAUUUUAAAAAUCCCCAGAAUAGCAUCCUCUUGUUUCAAAUGCAAUUUCUUUUAGAUGCAUAUGUUUACUUGUGAUUAUUGCAUAAGA
Molecule: long non-coding RNA, 1767 nt
Organism: Oncorhynchus gorbuscha (pink salmon)
Lineage: Eukaryota; Metazoa; Chordata; Actinopteri; Salmoniformes; Salmonidae
Exons: 5
Source: RefSeq, a predicted model, not a curated record